GCAUCUCUUCUUUUGGCCAAAAACCUUCACCAGUUUCUUUUCUCUAAUUACGCUACCUUCACACCCUCUCUCUCUCCAAUCAAUUCAGUCUUGCCAAACUUAUGCUAAUCAUUUAUUGGUGUUUAUUGGUGUUAAUCAUUUAUUCUUCGUUCCAAUUUUCAAUUGCAAUUUUGUAGGGUUCGAACGAAAGCUUGAAGGAAGAUUUAAAAAAGCCAGGGAUAAAGCAUGUGGUCUUCAACGAAGAUGCUAACAACUUUAAGAGAGAUAAAGCUUGAACGAAAAUGGGGGAACAACUCUUAGUUUUGUCUCCUUUCUCCCACUUCCCUUUCUGGUGAGUACAUGUUCUCAAUCAAGAAAGAUUCUGUAAUUGGAUAAGUUUUGGAUCAUUUGGACUCCAAAGAUGCCACCAGAGUAGUUAAUGGACCUAUUGUACAUUAGGGGAGAUGAUGAAAUGCUCAUGGAGGGAUGAGUAACACCUAUUCAAUUGUUGGAAGCAUGCUUGAGCUUUACUGAAACUAAAACAGGAGUAUAAAAGCAAAGAUUAAAGCUAUCCUAAUAAAUUCCAGCUGAUUCAAUAAUAGAAUCACUCUGUAGAAGGCCAGAUCUCAAUGAAACUGUAUGAUGUUCCAUUUGAUGAACGUUUUUUCCUUUUUUUAUCUAUCAAAUGAAUCGUUUAUGAAUUGUGCGACUGUUCUUUUGUUGGUAAUUUCUCAAUUCUUCAGCUAAUAACUUGAGUUCAUUUUUCCUCAUUUGUGAGCCUUUUCACAAAUGGAAGAUAGAUUUUGAAGGAAAAAAAUAUCGAUGCAUCAUCUGUUUCCUACACUCAGAAUUCUAUUUCCAACAACAGUCGUAAAAUGACCAACCUAUUCCACAUGUUGGACUCAACCUUUCCUGACAUUACAAGAAACCGCAGUAAUGCAGAAUCUGCUGUAGAUGGAACUGGCCCGAGCACUAGCUCACCCUCAUCAACGAGAAACAUUGACCAAUGCAAUUCUUCUCAACACAUCCAGUCUUUUGACUCUUGACUUCUGGUUUUGGAGACCCGCUAUUAAAUGAAGUUGAACCAGGAGCACCCGUAUAAAUGUAUACAAGAUACACGUUACAUCCAUGUCGAACAAGUGAUUGGAUGAAGCUACUUCUUGCUGGACGAGGACUCCGAAGAGCUUGAAAACAUCAUCAUCAAAAUAGAUGGCGAGAAUGUAGUUUGCGCAUACAAUGAGGUCGAUGUGAGUCAUUUAUUGGCAUGUGGUUUUCGUAUCAUUGAUACAUCUUAAAUGUGCACACAACAAAGAUUACUUAGCAUGUAGCUUUUAAGGAAAGUAUUUGAACCAACUAGCAAGGUGGGCGGGUCGGGCUGGUGCGGGUCACUGAUUAAAGCUACUUUGGGUCAGAAUGGGUACUUUGGGUCAAAAUGGGUUCGGGCCAAUAUGGGUUAGGAUUAAAAGUUUAGUUCGGGUUAAGACUGGUUCAGAUCAAAAUGAGUUCGGUUCAUUUAAAAAUUUAAUAAUUAAGUUCGGUUCAAUAUGGGUUUGGAGCAAAAUUAGUUAGGUCAAACAGGUAGUUUAAAAGAAAACUUUGAACUUUCGGAACCUCCUGAAAAAAGUUAAGACCGGAAAAUAGGCUGGUUGGGUAAUGGCAAAACGAGUAGUUUUUAGAUAUAGGUUGAAAAAGGUUAGUCAAGUCAGUUGACUCGCCAACAUUUUUUUUUUU
RNAcentral lists this long non-coding RNA (1710 nucleotides) under Helianthus annuus (common sunflower). Lineage: Eukaryota; Viridiplantae; Streptophyta; Magnoliopsida; Asterales; Asteraceae. The record is from RNAcentral.